GCCAAUUCAUUGGUGUCUAAGGAAGGCAACGGAGGAAGCCCCAUUGUUCUCCACUUACCUGAUCAAUUUGGAAGAUUGGGUCUUGAAUUAGGUUACUUAGCAGUUUGGUUUAUCCCAUGUCAGUUAGAUCAGUCAUAUGAUGACUGAUUAGAUGAGACCUAAAUACAAACCUCUCCACAAAUAUUAAGUCCAUAGAUCUUCCAUCAUUGUAGAUGUGCGGGUAUGUUAUCAACGUUGAUUGUUCUCGACUCGUCAUAGUGAUUCAG
RNAcentral lists this long non-coding RNA (266 nucleotides) under Elaeis guineensis (African oil palm). RNAcentral's name for it is "long non-coding RNA (EGUI_LNC056277)". Lineage: Eukaryota; Viridiplantae; Streptophyta; Magnoliopsida; Arecales; Arecaceae. The record is from RNAcentral.